CUUGACUGUAUCCUGGAAUUGGGUUCGGGCUCUUCUUGCGCAGCCUAGGUGGGAGGCUAUGAAGAUUUCCUUCCGGGGAAGUUGGAGCCAUCAGUGAGAGACCACUCUGGAGAGGCUAGAAUCCUAAUGGUGAUCCUUGAAUCAGGACACUUGACAGUUUCAGGUGGGCAGUUUUUCUGGGGCGGAAGCCUCAUAAAGGGUAACUGGGGCGCGCAAAGGUCCCCUCAGUCUGGACGGAAAUCAGACAACGAGUGUAAAGGCGAAAGGGGGCUUGACUGCAAGACCUACAAGUCGAGCAGGAGCGAAAGCUGGCCUUAGUGAUCCGACGGUACCGUGUGGAAGGGCCGUCGCUCAACGAAUAAAAGUUA
Molecule: ribosomal RNA, 368 nt
Filed under: uncultured organism
Description: bacterial LSU rRNA
Rfam family: Bacterial large subunit ribosomal RNA
Source: RNAcentral